Long non-coding RNA from Gasterosteus aculeatus aculeatus (three-spined stickleback), 2134 nucleotides. The record is from Ensembl. NCBI's taxonomy places the organism in Eukaryota, Metazoa, Chordata, Actinopteri, Perciformes, Gasterosteidae.
CGGAAGUUCUCACUAGCAGAAGAAAUAAGUGUUUGCUGGCAUUAGUUUCUGGACAAAUUAAGAGACACAUUGUUGCCACUAAGUACUAGAACUUAUAACAUAGAGAAACAUUUCAAAGGUGACAAUUCAACUCACAGAUCAAAGACUCGUGAUUCUUUUGCCAGUUUCUUUUUUUUUAAUCUCACAAAACACAUGAAUCUGAGACAUGAGCUCUCUUUCCCGUCUGUGCAGCUAAACAAUCUCACCGAUUUUAAAAACAAGGGAGAAGAAAAUAAUUUAUACAUCCUUUUUUUUUUUUAAUCAUAUCUACAAAAAUAAAAUCAAAUACGAGGACUAAGGCUUUACAGGAACAAAAAUAACAAAUAUAAAACAAGUGGGUCUGAUCUCUCUAUAUUACAUGAGUGACAUGUGUUUUAUUUUUUAAAAGACAAAAUAAACCAUGAGAUGAUAGUUAGACGUGUGUAUGCAUACAGUAGUUUGCAUCGUGCAGGGAAGUUUCUUUGUGCAACUCAUUUUUUUUUUUUUUUUUUUUAAGAAUCAGUUAUAGCUUCUUUUUUUCCCCCCUCUUUUUUCAAACCGCCCGUUAAGGCCGAAACGCUGACGUCAAUGUACGAGAUAAAUGCAUGAAAAGAAGAAAUCAUGGAGGAUACAAAGAGGUAGAAGUUGGAGAUGAAAAUGCUGUAGUUAAAGAGGAGGAACAUUUGACUCGUUUCAACCCCCUCAGACCAUUUUCGUCACGUAUGUGACAGCUCGGCACAUGAUGGACAAAAAAAACAAAACGAACGUCUGGUCUGAGAAGCUUGAAAAUCAGCAGCUGAAAUGUUGAGAGAAAAAAAAUGGUUCCCUUCAACGCCUCUGAAGACAUUUUUCACUUUGGUAGAAUAUUUCAGCAUUUCAGCAAAAACAUUUCCCUCAAUUUGCAUGCGAGUCUCCCCAAAGACACCCGGGCAGCGAGACACUGCCAAGCAGCACAACCCGAAGGCCACUCGGGCCCCGUCCGGGUCCCGUUAGCGUAUCCUCCGUUAGCAUUUCAAACCCGCUCAAGCGAAGUGCCAGCGGAGCUUCUUCUUGCGUUGAAAAAGCUCGCGCAGUCUAAAUGCGUUCUGGCUGCUUGGUGCUUGGGUGGAAUCACUCCACGGCGCCGCUCUCUGCCGGUCACGCGCAGCCUCUUAAGUGCGAUCCAGACGUAGUGUUUGCUGACGAGAUCCGUGCGCUCGUGUCGGUGCGUUGUGCGUAAAUCAAAGUAGUGUUGAUUUUUGCAAACAAGUACAUUUCCCAGAAUGACAAUGUCCGCUUCAACGAAACAGUUGCAUAUACGGCAGCGGUUUCUUAUUUUACUGCAGAUUGAAAUUCUUAUCAAGCUUUUGAUUCCUCCUCCGCCGGCCUCCCAUGUGGGCGACGUUGAUAUGAAAUAGGACUUCAGAAGAAGGGGAGAAGGUGGCGCGUCACAGUGAGAGGAGGCCACAGGCGGGAAAUGACCGUUCAGUGAAUAUUUCUACGUUGGGACUCUUCUUGUCGGAGCCGCUGUGCGACUCGAGGAGACGUCAGCGGGGCCGCGACUCUUCCCAAAGACCCUCGUGCUUCCUCCACCGCGAUGUGUGAAGGUCUGAGAUGAAUGAAAUGGUCACGUGUGUGUGUGUGUGUGCGUGUGUGUGAUAAUGGUUUCCUUACCCAGUGCAAAUAACCUGAAUUAUAAAGACACAGUCCUUCGGCCGUGGUGGCGAGUGAACUCAGUGUAAAGCAACCAGUGGGGGGGGGGGCCUCAAACAUCGGCUCCUAAAUAAAGUCAGUGGCAUCUCCGGUCCCUGAUUCGUUCCAGAGGGAUGCAUUGUGGGUAAAGUGCAGGGGUGACGGGUCCCUCGGAGAUUUCCUUAAAUUAAAAAUUUCAACACUUUUCCGCUUCGUUCCUUCAAACCAACAAAACAUACGACUCCUUUUCCUUCACAAACAUCCAACAAGGUCAACUUGUCUUCUUCCUCUUUUUGUUCCUUCAUGCUCUUCCCCCCUCGGCCCGUCCCGGACUCCCUGCUCCUCCUCUGGUAGGAGUCAGAGUUUGUCCUGAAAACAGCUACAGUCCGUCCCGGCCUCCGUUCCACUGGCCAGUGCAUGCGGGUGGGGCGGGGCGGACGGGAGG